This is a long non-coding RNA of Neopelma chrysocephalum (saffron-crested tyrant-manakin), 560 nucleotides long. RefSeq lists it as uncharacterized. The transcript has 4 exons. NCBI's taxonomy places the organism in Eukaryota, Metazoa, Chordata, Aves, Passeriformes, Pipridae. The record is from RefSeq and is a predicted model, not a curated record.
CUCGGUUACUCUCUAGUUCCGAUGUGUUUUCUUUUCCAGGUGGUUGGUGUUUCUGCAGUGCUUGGCACAGGACUGGGGGAGUUUUUUAUCCAGCUUUCUAAAGCUGUAGAUGAAUAGGAGAGACUGAAUGCACUCUCUUUAUUCACCUUUUCAGAGAGUAUUGUCCAGAAUACGAGCACCUGAGAAAAACACUGAAGGAAGCUCAAAAUAAACAAAAGAGAGAGCAGCUGGAACACUUGUGGAAGGACAUGGGCAGUGUGUGUGUGUGCAGGGCAGCACACUGGCAGGACCUGAUGCUUCUGCAAUGGGUCCCUCUGAGCUAAUACUAACACGAGGAACUCUCGAUGAAGAGCAAGAAGAGAGGGAGAGUGACACUGAUGACUGACCAUGAAGGUAAGGGAAUGAGAUCUAAAAGCUGCCUGUCUAGUCAAGAAAUCCCCUCUAUAUUUCAUGACCUGGAUGGACUGUAAGGAGAGCCUAGAAAACAAGCAAACAUUCAGUCACCUGACGUGUCAGAAUCUGUAGCAGAAGCUCAGCUGCAAUGGUCAGUCUAGGGAUAU